UGUAAGUACAAUCAGAAAGUGUAAAAAAAAAAGUAUUUUAUUUAUUCUUGUAAAAAAAGUAUAAUGUUGUACAUGUUAAUUUAAAUGGGCCAGUAUCCUGUCCUGUGGCGGAAGACUAUAUUAGGCCGAGUCAUGUUCGAAAUGACGUGAAUUUGGAUGGAUUGAGUCAUGCUCGAAGUGGCAUGAGGGCUAGUUGGACCGAGUCACAAUCGAAACCCGUGGGUGAUAUAUUUAUACGUUAUAAGAGAAUUAAUUGCGUAUUUCUAACAAUUAGAGCUUUUUAGAUUAAUAGUUAGCGCCAACGAUUUGAUAAUAUGUAUUGUAGUUAUUCAGUUAUGAUGUAAUUUCAACGGCACUCUCGUCGAUAAAUGGAAAAGCAUAACAUAUAUGUUUUUACAUAACUAUUUUGUCUGAUAAUAUUAAGCAGCCUUGACACCAAAUAAUCUCCAAACUAGUAUAGGAUCCGUGCUUCGCGACGGGCAUAUAAUGUUUCAACCAAUUCAAAUAGUCUUAUAUACAUUAAAAAAAUAAUUUGUUAAUUAAUAUUUUUUUAACUUUUAAUAUUUAUAGGGUUGAAUUAUUUUAAUAUUUUUAUUUAAAAUUUUACUAAAAUUUAUAUAUGGUCAUUCUGUAAAUAAAUUUUUUUAAUUAAAAAACUAAAGUUGAAGAACUGAUUUCAAAUUAAUGAUUAGAUAAGAGAGAGAAAGAGAGAAAUAGAGAGAGAAAGAGAGAAAGAAAGAGAGAAAGAGAGAGAGAGGGGAAGAGAGAGAAAGAGAGGGUAGAGAGAGGGAGAGGAGCAGCGCCAGAUGGGAGAGGGAAGAGAG
RNAcentral lists this long non-coding RNA (824 nucleotides) under Ananas comosus (pineapple). RNAcentral's name for it is "long non-coding RNA (ACOM_LNC031289)". The record is from RNAcentral. Lineage: Eukaryota; Viridiplantae; Streptophyta; Magnoliopsida; Poales; Bromeliaceae.